Molecule: ribosomal RNA, 428 nt
Filed under: uncultured bacterium
Lineage: Bacteria
Description: bacterial SSU rRNA
Rfam family: Bacterial small subunit ribosomal RNA
Source: RNAcentral
UGGGGAAUUUUGCGCAAUGGGCGAAAGCCUGACGCAGCGACGCCGCGUGAGCGAUGAAGGCCUUCGGGUUGUAAAGCUCUGUGGGGAGGGAAGAAUAAGGGCGAGCUAAUACCUCGUCUGAUGACGGUACCUCCUUAGCAAGCACCGGCUAACUCUGUGCCAGCAGCCGCGGUAAGACAGAGGGUGCAAACGUUGUUCGGAAUUACUGGGCGUAAAGCGCGUGUAGGCGGCUUUGCAAGUCGGAUGUGAAAGCCCUCGGCUCAACCGAGGAAGCGCACCCGAAACUGCUAAGCUAGAGUCCUGGAGAGGAAGGUGGAACGCUUGGUGUAGAGGUGAAAUUCGUAGAUAUCAAGCAGAACACCGGUGGCGAAGGCGGCCUUCUGGACAGUGACUGACGCUGAGACGCGAAAGCGUGGGGAGCAAACAGG